This 1394-nucleotide ribosomal RNA is filed under the name uncultured Lactobacillus sp. Its description in RNAcentral is "bacterial SSU rRNA". It matches the Rfam family "Bacterial small subunit ribosomal RNA". Lineage: Bacteria; Bacillati; Bacillota; Bacilli; Lactobacillales; Lactobacillaceae. The record is from RNAcentral.
GUGGGAAACCUGCCCAGAAGCGGGGGAUAACACCUGGAAACAGAUGCUAAUACCGCAUAACAACUUGGACCGCAUGGUCCGAGCUUGAAAGAUGGCUUCGGCUAUCACUUUUGGAUGGUCCCGCGGCGUAUUAGCUAGAUGGUGGGGUAACGGCUCACCAUGGCAAUGAUACGUAGCCGACCUGAGAGGGUAAUCGGCCACAUUGGGACUGAGACACGGCCCAAACUCCUACGGGAGGCAGCAGUAGGGAAUCUUCCACAAUGGGCGAAAGUCUGAUGGAGCAACGCCGCGUGAGUGAAGAAGGGUUUCGGCUCGUAAAACUCUGUUGUUAAAGAAGAACAUAUCUGAGAGUAACUGUUCAGGUAUUGACGGUAUUUAACCAGAAAGCCACGGCUAACUACGUGCCAGCAGCCGCGGUAAUACGUAGGUGGCAAGCGUUGUCCGGAUUUAUUGGGCGUAAAGCGAGCGCAGGCGGUUUUUUAAGUCUGAUGUGAAAGCCUUCGGCUCAACCGAAGAAGUGCAUCGGAAACUGGGAAACUUGAGUGCAGAAGAGGACAGUGGAACUCCAUGUGUAGCGGUGAAAUGCGUAGAUAUAUGGAAGAACACCAGUGGCGAAGGCGGCUGUCUGGUCUGUAACUGACGCUGAGGCUCGAAAGUAUGGGUAGCAAACAGGAUUAGAUACCCUGGUAGUCCAUACCGUAAACGAUGAAUGCUAAGUGUUGGAGGGUUUCCGCCCUUCAGUGCUGCAGCUAACGCAUUAAGCAUUCCGCCUGGGGAGUACGGCCGCAAGGCUGAAACUCAAAGGAAUUGACGGGGGCCCGCACAAGCGGUGGAGCAUGUGGUUUAAUUCGAAGCUACGCGAAGAACCUUACCAGGUCUUGACAUACUAUGCAAAUCUAAGAGAUUAGACGUUCCCUUCGGGGACAUGGAUACAGGUGGUGCAUGGUUGUCGUCAGCUCGUGUCGUGAGAUGUUGGGUUAAGUCCCGCAACGAGCGCAACCCUUAUUAUCAGUUGCCAGCAUUAAGUUGGGCACUCUGGUGAGACUGCCGGUGACAAACCGGAGGAAGGUGGGGAUGACGUCAAAUCAUCAUGCCCCUUAUGACCUGGGCUACACACGUGCUACAAUGGAUGGUACAACGAGUUGCGAACUCGCGAGAGUAAGCUAAUCUCUUAAAGCCAUUCUCAGUUCGGAUUGUAGGCUGCAACUCGCCUACAUGAAGUCGGAAUCGCUAGUAAUCGCGGAUCAGCAUGCCGCGGUGAAUACGUUCCCGGGCCUUGUACACACCGCCCGUCACACCAUGAGAGUUUGUAACACCCAAAGUCGGUGGGGUAACCUUUUAGGAGCCAGCCGCCUAAGGUGGGACAGAUGAUUAGGGUGAAGUCGUAACAAGGU